This 103-nucleotide small nuclear RNA is filed under the name Prolemur simus (greater bamboo lemur). The record is from RNAcentral. Lineage: Eukaryota; Metazoa; Chordata; Mammalia; Primates; Lemuridae.
GUACUUGCUUUGGCAGCACAUAUACUAAAAUUGGAAUGAUACAGAGAUUAGCAUGGCCCCUGCGCAGGGUGACGUGCAAAUUCGUGAAGCGUUCCAUGAAAAA